UUGGACAAUGGGCGCAAGCCUGAUCCAGCCAUGCCGCGUGAGUGAUGAAGGCCCUAGGGUUGUAAAGCUCUUUCACCGGUGAAGAUAAUGACGGUAACCGGAGAAGAAGCCCCGGCUAACUUCGUGCCAGCAGCCGCGGUAAUACGAAGGGGGCGAGCGUUGUUCGGAUUUACUGGGCGUAAAGCGCACGUAGGCGGACUUUUAAGUCAGGGGUGAAAUCCCGGGGCUCAACCCCGGAACUGCCUUUGAUACUGGAAGUCUUGAGUAUGGUACAGGUGAGUGGAAUUCCGAGUGUACAGGUGAAAUUCGUAGAUAUUCGGAGGAACACCAGUGGCGAAGGCGGCUCACUGGACCAUUACUGACGCUGAGGUGCGAAAGCGUGGGGAGCAAACAGGAUUAUUACCCUGGGAGUCCACGCCGUAAACCAUGAAUGUUAGCCGUUGGGGAACUUACUCUUCGGUGGCGCAGCUAACGCAUUAAACAUUCCGCCUGGGGAGUACGGUCGCAAGAUUGAAACUC
This 519-nucleotide ribosomal RNA is filed under the name uncultured Ochrobactrum sp. Its description in RNAcentral is "bacterial SSU rRNA". It matches the Rfam family "Bacterial small subunit ribosomal RNA", at positions 364 to 902 of the family's 1533-position model. Lineage: Bacteria; Pseudomonadati; Pseudomonadota; Alphaproteobacteria; Hyphomicrobiales; Brucellaceae. The record is from RNAcentral.